UUCGRUUCCGGAGAGGGAGCCUGAGAAACGGCUACCASAUCUAMGGAWKGCAGCAGGCGCGUAAAUUACCCAAUCCUGAUUCAGGGAGGUAGUGACAAGAAAUAUCAACCUGGAGAGAUUUGCUCUUCGGAUAGAAAUGAGUUUAACCUAAAAACUUAUCCGAACUCCAUUGGAGGGCAAGUCUGGUGCCAGCAGCCGCGGUAAUUCCAGCUCCAAUAGCGUAUAUUAAAGUUGUUGCAGUUAAAAAGCUCGCAGUUGAAUGUCUGGCCCAUUUGAUUUCAUGGCUUUAGUCGKGAGUCAAGUGAGUCAUCAAUCACCGAACCUUGUUGGUCCUUAACCGGGCUGACUAGGAGAGUUGAUACUUUACCUUGAAAAAAUUARAGUGUGUAAGGCAGGCAAUCGCCUGAAUAGAUUAGCAUGGAAUAAUGGAAUACGACAUUUUUGCUAUUUUGUUGGUUAUUUGACUGAAGUAAUGAUUAAUARGGACAGUUGGGGGCAUUURUAUUUGAUAGCCARAAGKGAAAUUUCUUGACUUAUCWAARACUAACUUAUGCCAAAGCMUUUGCCAAGGAUGUUUUCAUUAAUCAAGAACSAAAGUUAAGGGAUCAAAGACSAUCARA
This 620-nucleotide ribosomal RNA is filed under the name Ciliophora sp. RNAcentral describes it as "partial small subunit ribosomal RNA". It matches the Rfam family "Eukaryotic small subunit ribosomal RNA", at positions 378 to 1023 of the family's 1831-position model. The record is from RNAcentral. Lineage: Eukaryota; Ciliophora.